RNAcentral lists this ribosomal RNA (417 nucleotides) under uncultured bacterium. RNAcentral's name for it is "bacterial SSU rRNA". It matches the Rfam family "Bacterial small subunit ribosomal RNA", at positions 917 to 1333 of the family's 1533-position model. The record is from RNAcentral.
GGGCCCGCACAAGCGGUGGAGCAUGUGGUUUAAUUCGAUGCAACGCGAAGAACCUUACCAGGGCUUGACAUACUGCGAAUCUUUCUGAAAGGAGAGAGUGCCUUCGGGAAUGCAGAUACAGGUGGUGCAUGGCUGUCGUCAGCUCGUGUCGUGAGAUGUUGGGUUAAGUCCCGCAACGAGCGCAACCCUCGUCCUAUGUUGCCAGCACGUAAUGGUGGGAACUCAUGGGAUACUGCCGGGGUCAACUCGGAGGAAGGUGGGGAUGACGUCAAAUCAUCAUGCCCCUUAUGUCUUGGGCUUCACGCAUGCUACAAUGGCCGGUACAGAGGGCUGCAAUACCGCAAGGUGGAGCGAAUCCCAAAAAGCCGGUCUCAGUUCGGAUUGAGGUCUGCAACUCGACCUCAUGAAGUCGGAGUC